AGUGGGGAAUAUUGGACAAUGGGCGAAAGCCUGAUCCAGCCAUGCCGCGUGUGUGAAGAAGGCCUUUUGGUUGUAAAGCACUUUAAGCGAGGAGGAGGCUACUUGGAUUAAUACUCUAGGAUAGUGGACGUUACUCGCAGAAUAAGCACCGGCUAACUCUGUGCCAGCAGCCGCGGUAAUACAGAGGGUGCGAGCGUUAAUCGGAUUUACUGGGCGUAAAGCGUGCGUAGGCGGCUUUUUAAGUCGGAUGUGAAAUCCCUGAGCUUAACUUAGGAAUUGCAUUCGAUACUGGUCAGCUAGAGUAUGGGAGAGGAUGGUAGAAUUCCAGGUGUAGCGGUGAAAUGCGUAGAGAUCUGGAGGAAUACCGAUGGCGAAGGCAGCCAUCUGGCCUAAUACUGACGCUGAGGUACGAAAGCAUGGGGAGCAAA
This 428-nucleotide ribosomal RNA is filed under the name uncultured Acinetobacter sp. RNAcentral's name for it is "bacterial SSU rRNA". It matches the Rfam family "Bacterial small subunit ribosomal RNA", at positions 353 to 772 of the family's 1533-position model. Lineage: Bacteria; Pseudomonadati; Pseudomonadota; Gammaproteobacteria; Moraxellales; Moraxellaceae. The record is from RNAcentral.